GGGGGACGACCCUCCGGAAUCGGCUUUCAGGAGCAGGUCUCAAACCAGUCCGAGCUGCUGCGGUAAAGAGCGUGUGUGGUGAGCGCGUCGGAUGAAAAGUUCGGUCGAGAUCCGAGCAGGU
This 121-nucleotide non-coding RNA is filed under the name Sinorhizobium medicae. The record is from RNAcentral. Lineage: Bacteria; Pseudomonadati; Pseudomonadota; Alphaproteobacteria; Hyphomicrobiales; Rhizobiaceae.